RNAcentral lists this ribosomal RNA (305 nucleotides) under uncultured bacterium. Its description in RNAcentral is "bacterial SSU rRNA". It matches the Rfam family "Bacterial small subunit ribosomal RNA", at positions 335 to 658 of the family's 1533-position model. The record is from RNAcentral.
GUCCUACGGGGCGCAGCAGUGGGGAAUAUUGCACAAUGGGGGAAACCCUGAUGCAGCAACGCCGCGUGAGUGAGGAAGUAUUUCGGUAUGUAAAGCUCUAUCAGCAGGGAAUAGAAAAGAAGGUACCUGAAAAAGAAGCCCCGGCUAACUACGUGCCAGCAGCCGCGGUAAUACGGAGGAUGCGAGCGUUAUCCGGAUUUAUUGGGUUUAAAGGGUGCGUAGGCGGAUUUUUAAGUCAGCGGUAAAAUGUCCGGGCUCAACCCGGGCCGGCCGUUGAAACUGGGGAUCUUGAGUGGGCGAGAAGU